Molecule: ribosomal RNA, 735 nt
Filed under: marine alpha proteobacterium RS.Sph.008
Lineage: Bacteria; Pseudomonadati; Pseudomonadota; Alphaproteobacteria
Description: bacterial SSU rRNA
Rfam family: Bacterial small subunit ribosomal RNA
Source: RNAcentral
UUUUUUACGAACGCCUGGCGGCAGGCCUAACACAUGUCAAGAUCGAGCGAUCCCUUCGGGGAUAGCGGCGGACGGGUUAGUAACGCGUGGGAAUAUGCCCAAAGGUACGGAAUAGCCUCUGGAAACGGAGAUUAAUACCGUAUGUGCCCUUCGGGGGAAAGAUUUAUCGCCUUUGGAUUAGCCCGCGUUGGAUUAGGUAGUUGGUGGGGUAAUGGCCUACCAAGCCUACGAUCCAUAGCUGGUUUGAGAGGAUGAUCAGCAACACUGGGACUGAGACACGGCCCAGACUCCUACGGGAGGCAGCAGUGGGGAAUCUUCGGCAAUGGGCGCAAGCCUGACCGAGCCAUGCCGCGUGAGCGAUGAAGGCCUUAGGGUUGUAAAGCUCUUUCGCCAGGGAUGAUAAUGACAGUACCUGGUAAAGAAACCCCGGCUAACUCCGUGCCAGCAGCCGCGGUAAUACGUAGGUGGCAAGCGUUAUCCGGAAUUAUUGGGCGUAAAGCGCGCGCAGGUGGUUUCUUAAGUCUGAUGUGAAAGCCCACGGCUCAACCGUGGAGGGUCAUUGGAAACUGGGAGACUUGAGUGCAGAAGAGGAAAGUGGAAUUCCAUGUGUAGCGGUGAAAUGCGUAGAGAUAUGGAGGAACACCAGUGGCGAAGGCGACUUUCUGGUCUGUAACUGACACUGAGGCGCGAAAGCGUGGGGAGCAAACAGGAUAGAUACCCUGGUAGUCCCACGCC